GGAGAGGUGUCUGAGCGGUUGAAAGAGCUCGCCUCGAAAGCGAGUGUAGGGGGAACCCUACCGUGGGUUCGAAUCCCACCCUCUCCG
Acidobacteria bacterium 13_1_20CM_2_60_10 is the source of this 87-nucleotide non-coding RNA. NCBI's taxonomy places the organism in Bacteria, Pseudomonadati, Acidobacteriota. The record is from Rfam.